UUGCCUUUCAACUGCCUAAAGCCGGUACCCAACCUUAUAAAUUCCAAAACUACCUCAUAAAACACCCGAGCUUCACUGAGGUGGUGCAAGAUGCUUGGUUUGAAGCCGGAAGCGUGUCUGCCAACCUUUCGUCAUUGUUGGAAGCUGAAACUCAUAAAGAGAAGUUUAAAACAAUUAAAUAGAGAGAACUACUCACAGAUCCAAGAGAGAGUGAAAGAAACUCACGGUUUGUUACAACUUGCGCAGGUACAUGCUCUUGAGGAUCCAUCACCAGAAACUUUCGCGGAGGAGCAAUCGCUGAACCAAAAAUGGCAGUUCCUAAGGCAGAUAGAGGAAUGUUACUUCAGGCAGAAAUCAAGAGUGAAUUGGCUAAAAGAAGGGGAUCUCAACACUACUUACUUUUUUAGAGUCUGUCUGAGUAGAGCAAGCUUUAAUGCGGUGAGAUCUUUCCUCCUUCUCUCAGGUGUCCUGCUUACUGACCCACUUCAGAUGAGCAAUCAUGCAGUAGAACAUUUCAAAUCUGUGCUGGGGCCUAAUCGUUUAAACAUUCUGGUGGCUUCUCCUCCUGAUUGGUUUCAACGUUUAACACCUUUCCAAUGUAGCUUGUCACAGAGUGCGACGAUCCUUCUAAUGCCCACCUCAGCUGAAAUAACCAAACUAAUGUUCUCUCUGAAUCCUAGCAAAUAACCUCUGCUUUCUUCAAAGGGGCUUGGAGUGUGGUGGGAUCCGAGGUCAUCAACUCUAUCACCAAUUUCUUCAACACCGGAUUCAUG
RNAcentral lists this long non-coding RNA (773 nucleotides) under Brassica napus (rape). Its description in RNAcentral is "long non-coding RNA (BNAP_LNC019797)". The record is from RNAcentral. Lineage: Eukaryota; Viridiplantae; Streptophyta; Magnoliopsida; Brassicales; Brassicaceae.